CGCCUGGGGAGUGCGGCCGCAAGGUUAAAACUCAAAUGAAUUGACGGGGGCCCGCACAAGCGGUGGAGCAUGUGGUUUAAUUCGACGCAACGCGAAGAACCUUACCUGGCCUUGACAUGCAGAGAACUUUCCAGAGAUGGAUUGGUGCCUUCGGGAACUCUGUCACAGGUGCUGCAUGGCCGUCGUCAGCUCGUGUCGUGAGAUGUUGGGUUAAGUCCCGUAACGAGCGCAACCCCUAUCCCUAGUUGCUAGCAGUUCGGCUGAGAACUCUAGGGAGACUGCCGGUGACAAACCGGAGGAAGGUGGGGAUGACGUCAGGUCAUCAUGGCCCUUACGGCCAGGGCUACACACGUGCUACAAUGGUGCGCACAGAGGGCUGCAAACCCGCGAGGGGGAGCCAAUCUCACAAAACGCAUCGUAGUCCGGAUCGCAGUCUGCAACUCGACUGCGUGAAGUCGGAAUCGCUAGUAAUCGUGAAUCAGAAUGUCACGGUGAAUACGUUCCCGGGCCUUGUACACACCGCCCGUCACACCAUGGGAGUGGAUUGCACCAGAAGUGGUUAGUCUAACCUUCGGGAGGACGAUCACCACGGUGUGGUUCAUGACUGGGGUGAAGUCGUAACAAGGUAACCGUA
RNAcentral lists this ribosomal RNA (634 nucleotides) under uncultured Marinobacter sp. Its description in RNAcentral is "bacterial SSU rRNA". It matches the Rfam family "Bacterial small subunit ribosomal RNA", at positions 870 to 1504 of the family's 1533-position model. The record is from RNAcentral. Lineage: Bacteria; Pseudomonadati; Pseudomonadota; Gammaproteobacteria; Pseudomonadales; Marinobacteraceae.